GGCCAUGGCCACUCUGACUCCUUCCUACCCUCAUGAACUAGUUCAUAAAACAUGGCUCUAGAUAUCUUUGGAGAACAGAGAAAAGCACAAUAUAUAAAUACCAAGGACAAAACGUCUUGCUGAAGCUGUGUAUCACCACUGACCCGGAGACCAUGCAUUCUUUGCUUUCUGUGCCCCUUUUUGUUUAGUUUUAACAACUUCGUCAAUACUACCAGGACAUUUGACCUCUGUUAUCACAGUUUUUGUUAAAUGUCUGAAAUCACAUCUGCUAAUAAAACAUCUUUUUAUAUCAACACAACUCUUUGAAGAGUAUAAACUUGACGUUGAUGUAGCAUGUAGAAAUUGAUAGCUUUUGGAUUUAGCUAUAUUUUCACCCUUAUCCUUCAGAGGAAGAGAUGCAGUG
Molecule: long non-coding RNA, 403 nt
Filed under: Homo sapiens (human)
Lineage: Eukaryota; Metazoa; Chordata; Mammalia; Primates; Hominidae
Description: HSALNT0311277
Source: RNAcentral